AGAUGUGGAGGGAGGAAAGAAGAGGAGGGGGAGAGGCAAAGGGGAAUAAGGAGAAAAGAGACAGAAAGAGGCAAGAGAAAGGGAGAAACAAAGGAAGCGAAGUGGUGAAUACAGGCAAAGGGGGUUUAGGGGAGAAAAGAGGUAAAGUCCAUAUCAUUCUAAUGGUCACAGUAUCGCGUAUCCGAAGUUCAUCAUCAACAUUAUUUGGAAGCGUAAUUUCGUAUUGUGCUUGUGGUUGCGUGCGAGAGUGCAGGACGAUCGCGCAGAUCGUCUGAGAUAGUCGUCACAAUUUUUUUUUAUUCGGAUGUUUUCAGGCCAAAAGGUAUAUUAUUACCAUCGUUAUAAUGAUCAUAUUAUAUAAUUUUCUUGUUUUUAUUAUCAUCACUGCCAUUAUUAUAAUUAUUAUCAUUAACGAUACUAUCGUCACCACCACCACACUACUACUAAUCCUAUUUCUACUCUUCAAAAAAUAACUGAUGUGAAAAAGCAACAUACGUUCUUUUCUAUCAUGACAUUAUUUUAUAUAUUUAUAAAUUGAACACUGCCAAAUUAUCGUGCCUCGAGUGUUGUUUGAUCUUAAGGUGUUGAGGCAGUGUGCCCUGGUGACCGGUAGACCAUUGUAGUGUACCCCGAGAUACGCCUUGUAAAAAAAAAAAAAAAAACAUCUGUAAUUAUUAUGCAUUUUGCCAAGGGCGCACUAUUUUAAUACAUUGCUCCUCUACCUUGAACUACCAUGUAAACUACCUUGUUUCCCGCUCGUUUGCCAGUGUCCAGCAGCUCGCCGUGCGCUGGAAGCCAGGCAUAAUCAGUUCACCCCAAAACCCAGAGGUGUUUACAUGUGCUGUGUGUGUGCGUUGUACGAGUUACUGUUAAAAUUCAUUCUUUGAUUUGUAUACUCUUACUGGCCAAUGUUACCGAAAGCGACGCACAGAGAUAGAGAGAAAUGGACAAUGCCAUCUAAUAGACCUUACGAAAUAGCCAUGAAUAAUAUGGGCACAGCUGCUGUGGUUGCAUAUUUACAGCAAAGUGAUGAAAAUAAUUCCUGCAUAUCACCGCUCAGAUUUUAUCCCUCACACAGCCAGUGCUCAUAAUGUCGCAUUUUCUAUAAUUCCUCCGCCGCAGCUCCUCUGUACCCUACACGAAGGUACAUCACUGCAAGAACUUUGGUGCAUGACUGCAAGUGACUGAGCCAAGGUGUCACCACAAGUCCUUGACGUCGGCGGCCGCUACCUAUCGGCGUACAGCUUGCCUCCAUUCAUCACCCCGUCUCGCCCCCAUGUCUCAACCGUGAGCUACUCGGAGGGUUGUCCUAAGGGCAGCUUGCCCAAUUCUUGCCAGGAAGAAGUCAUCUGACCCAGGUGGUUGCCUGCUAGUUGUUGAUCACUGUCCAGAAAACAAAUACAGAAUUCCAGUUUGCUUGUGUCCAGCAGUUCGCCGUGUCUGGAGGCAGCUAGUCAUUUCACCCCGACACCUAGAGCUAUAUUGACCUGUGCUUUGUGCUUGUGCAUGUUUAAUGUAUUAUUUUUAAUUCUAAGAUUUCUAUAUCCAUUUUUUCAUUCAUUUCAAUGUAUUAACAAAUAAACAGUUCAAGCAUAAUAAGGUGAUUCUUAAUGUUAUCCUUGGAAAUACGAGAAAAUCUAGAAUUUCCAGCCAACCUAGGGUCAGACUGGGCUCAAUCUUGUCGAACAGCUGGGUAGUAUACUACACCAAUUUGUAUUUUCUUGUGGUUGGUUCCAGUGUGUGUUAUGUGCAUGUGUGUACUAUUCAUGCUGUGUGUGUUAGCUAAUAUGUGCUCGGUAACAAGUAUUUUUCAUCGUCUGCCAGUAUAUGGCGUUGGGUGAGCAUAUCAGAGACGAAGAGUACCGAGCAGGCUACU
Molecule: non-coding RNA, 1876 nt
Organism: Penaeus vannamei (Pacific white shrimp)
Lineage: Eukaryota; Metazoa; Arthropoda; Malacostraca; Decapoda; Penaeidae
Source: RefSeq, a predicted model, not a curated record